RNAcentral lists this unclassified non-coding RNA (377 nucleotides) under soil metagenome. Its description in RNAcentral is "partial contains small subunit ribosomal RNA and internal transcribed spacer 1". The record is from RNAcentral.
UUUCCGUAGGUGAACCUGCGGAAGGAUCAUUAACACUAACAUUUGUGCUGGCCGUCGCUCGGCGACCGAUCACUCGAUCACCGUUCGUACGUGCCUCACAUCUACUAUCCACCCGUGGUUCUGUUCUGUACCUUUGCCGCAAGGUGAAGGCUUAUCCACUCGAUCGCUGAGCUUUCCCUCUGGGAGACCAGUGGUAAUGGGCGCACGCACCGCACCGUCGUAUGUGUUGUGCUCUGAGCCGCAUAGGUUGAGUGGCCCUUUUUUACCUCCGCAUAGAAUACCUGCACUGAUUUCAUAUGCACGCGAAAGUGUGCGUAUGCUAUUGACUUCGGUCAAUAAACCAUAUACAACUCGUAACAACGGAUAUCUCGGCUAAC